Molecule: unclassified non-coding RNA, 2448 nt
Filed under: Hevea brasiliensis (rubber tree)
Lineage: Eukaryota; Viridiplantae; Streptophyta; Magnoliopsida; Malpighiales; Euphorbiaceae
Source: RNAcentral
AAGUUUGUUUAAUUAGUUCUUCCAUCCUGAAUAUUAAUGUUGUUCGCAUAUUUACUGAUCUAGUUUUCUUGUGUUCAUUAACUAUGGAAUUUGAGUAUUUCCAUUAUUCCAGGUGCAUUCUCUGGCAAUUUUCUUUUUUAAUUUUCUCUGUAAUCAUCUAUGAUUUCUGCAGUUGUACAAACCAACCUAUUAAAUUUACAACGGCAUAGCAGUCUUGUGGGUCAUAGCUCUCAUAGCUAUUUUUCUUCUAUUUUGGCUAUAUAUUAUCAUGUUAUCAUUGUGUACUUAUUGCUCUUGUCAUGAGGUGACUUUAUUGUUCAUACCUUCAGUUGUUUUUAUUCACUCAUUUUGAGGAGGAAAAGAAAGUUGCUUUGAUAACAUUUAUUACUGUUUAUUACCCCUCUCUGCUGAGUUGUUUAGCAGACGUCCUUUCUUUUAAUUGCCCACAUUUAUUGUCUAUAACGUCCUCAUGGCUUUUUCUUGCAGCUUUGGCUUUAGAUUUCCCUUUUUAAUCUUGCUUUUCUUGUUUUUCUAAAUUCAAAGAAAUCAUUCUUUGCGAUGGUUGUUUUAGACGCUCAAAGGUUGCAUUUUCUUUAUUACUUCACUUCUCUACUAAGUAUUGACCAAUUACUUAAUUACCAUUUCUUGAAAUUUAAAUUGUUUGUUUUAUAAAAGCAAUUUUUAGUUAAUCUUCUGUAUUUUUAAGGUCUCUGUAAAAUUUUUUCCUCUGUUAGUUCUAUGUUGUGAUCUUUUGGUGUAAACUGUGUAUUUGUUCGUUACGUUCGUUUUUAGGCUGAUUUCUAUUGGAUAUUUGCAGAAGCUUAUUUCUUCAUAUUCAAGGAGAUUAAGCAAAUUAUUCAGUAAAUCAACAGUUUCUGAAAGAAAUUUCAAGUUAAUAUUCAAUGACUUCCCGGGAGGGGCUGAAAGUUUUGAGCUCAUGUCCAGGUUCUGCUACAACAAAGGAAAAAUUGAUAUAACUCCUUACAAUAUUUCACUCCUCCAUUGUGCUUCACAAUUCAUGGAAAUGAACAUUUCUGUUUCUGGUACUCAAAACAUGUUAGAACAGAUUGAGAAAUCACUUCAAGAAAUCAAUGAUUGGACAUGGUCUGAGCUAUUGAUCACUAUAAAGCAGUGCCAAGGUUUAUCGCCCUCAACAAAUUCUUUAGCCAUUGUUGAGAAAUGUGUGGAUUCCAUUAUUGGGAGGAUAGCUUUGUCUAGUGAAUCAAGUUCUUGUCUAUCUACAUCUUCCCCGGAUAGCUCCAGCAUUAGGUUUUCAUGUGACACUAGAAGUACUGUGAGUUUGAAGAGUAGCAUGUCUCGAGCAACAUGGUGGUUUGAGGAUCUUUCAGUUUUAAGUCCUGAUUUGAUUGAAAUGGUUGUAAAAUCCUUGGUCUCGCAGAAAUUUGAUCAUGCCAUCAUUGUUAGGUUUCUCUUUUAUUAUCAGAAAUCAAAGUUCUAUACAACCACAUCUGACGAGAAGCAAAAAAUUGUUAAAACCGUCAUUGAUAUGCUUUAUAUUCUUGAUUGGAAUUCUGUUCUGUGCAAGAGACUUUUUGGGAUACUUCGAGUUGCUUUGAGUUUGAAUAUAAGCAAAUAUAGCAGGAACAAGCUGGAGAGUAUGAUAGGUUCCCAAAUGGAUCAAGCAACUCUAGAUAAUCUGCUCAUUCCAUCUCCGCAUGGGAUGGCUUACUUGUAUGAUAUCAAUCUUGUUUUAAGGUUAUUGAAAUCAUUUCUAUGUGAUGGAAACUCACAAGUAACUUCAUUGCGAUUGAAGAAAGUUGCCAUGUUGAUGGAUUUGUAUAUAGCAGAAGUAGCUCCCGAUCCUUAUUUAAAACCUUCCAAGUUCUUAGCCUUAGUCAUGGCCUUACCAGACUGUGCUAGAGAUUCUUAUGAUGAAAUCUACCGCGCCACAGACAUUUAUCUGCAGGUGCAUGCUGGAUUAUCUGAAGAAGAAAAGAUGGAGAUAUAUGGUGUGUUGAACUGUGUGAAGCUCUCAGUUGAAGCUUGCAUGCACCUUUCUCAGAACAAGAAAUUUUCAUCAAAAAGUGCAGUGCAAGCUCUCAAAUCUCAGCAACUCAAGCUCAAAAGCUUACUCCAAGGAACCAACAAUUCAAAAUGCUUUGGUGGUUCCCCAAGUAGUUUGGGAGAAAUGGGAGGCAAGGGAAUGACUAACGAAGCCAGUGAACAAAUUGUGCUUUGCACUGGGAAACUCGAGCUUUCGACUGAGUGUGAGAAGCUAAGGGCACAUUUGCAAGGAAUGCAAUGUAGGGUGAUGGAAUUGGAGGAAAUUUGCCGGAAAAUGCAAACCCAGAUGACAAAAAUAAUGAAGUCAAGAGUAUCUAGCCAUAAUAAUGCCAGAUCCUUACCCAAGCUUUGUUCAUGAUAAGAAUUUUUUUUGUUUCAUAUUAUAAUGUCUAUUAUCUGUUUCAUAUGUAUAUAGCAUGAAGG